AUUGAACGCUGGCGGCCAUGCCUUACACAUGCAAGUCGAACGGCAGCAUAGGAGCUUGCUCCUGAUGGCGAGUGGCAACGGGUGAGUAAUAUAUCGGAACGUGCCCUAGAUGGGGGAUAACUAGUCGAAAGAUUAGCUAAUACCGCAUACGAUCUNCGAUGAAAAGUGGGGGGAUCGCAAGACCUCAUGCUCUUGGAGUGGCCGAUAUCUGAUUAGCUAGUUGGUGGGGUAAAGGCCUACCAAGGCUACGAUCAGUAGCUGGUCUGAGAGGACGACCAGCCACACUGGAACUGAGACACGGUCCAGACUCCUACGGGAGGCAGCAGUGGGGAAUUUUGGACAAUGGGGGCAACCCUGAUCCAGCAAUGCCGCGUNAGUGAAGAAGGCCUCGGGUUGUAAAGCUCUUUUGUCAGGGAAGAAACGGCGAGUGCUAAUACCACUUGCUAAUGACGGUACCUGAAGAAUAAGCACCGGCUAACUACGUGCCAGCAGCCGCGGUAAUACGUAGGGUGCGAGCGUUAAUCGGAAUACUGGGCGU
This 538-nucleotide ribosomal RNA is filed under the name uncultured bacterium. RNAcentral's name for it is "bacterial SSU rRNA". It matches the Rfam family "Bacterial small subunit ribosomal RNA", at positions 28 to 561 of the family's 1533-position model. The record is from RNAcentral.